Molecule: ribosomal RNA, 497 nt
Filed under: uncultured bacterium
Lineage: Bacteria
Description: partial 16S ribosomal RNA
Rfam family: Bacterial small subunit ribosomal RNA
Source: RNAcentral
GAUGAACGCUGGCGGCGUGCCUAAUACAUGCAUGUCGAGCGAACAGACGAGGAGCUUGCUCCUCUGACGUUAGCGGCGGACGGGUGAGUAACACGUGGAUAACCUACCUAUAAGACUGGGAUAACUUCGGGAAACCGGAGCUAAUACCGGAUAACAUGUUGAACCGCAUGGUUCAACAGUGAAAGACGGUUUUGCUGUCACUUAUAGAUGGAUCCGCGUCGCAUUAGCUAGUUGGUAAGGUAACGGCUUACCAAGGCAACGAUGCGUAGCCGACCUGAGAGGGUGAUCGGCCACACUGGAACUGAGACACGGUCCAGACUCCUACGGGAGGCAGCAGUAGGGAAUCUUCCGCAAUGGGCGAAAGCCUGACGGAGCAACGCCGCGUGAGUGAAGAAGGUCUUCGGAUCGUAAAACUCUGUUAUUAGGGAAGAACAAAUGUGUAAGUAACUAUGCACGUCUUGACGGUACCUAAUCAGAAAGCCACGGCUAACUACGUG